Molecule: long non-coding RNA, 2150 nt
Filed under: Nicotiana benthamiana
Lineage: Eukaryota; Viridiplantae; Streptophyta; Magnoliopsida; Solanales; Solanaceae
Description: long non-coding RNA (NBEN_LNC029737)
Source: RNAcentral
CUACUAUAUGACUAGGGUUAACAGAAGGAACAAAAACAGGUAAACUAACAGAUGAAUGACAAGCAAAUAUGAAAGUGGAUAUAACAGGAAAAAGAUCAUCACCUGGAUAUAGUUAGUAUAGCCUUCCCACAGCCUUACCAAUUUUAGUGGCCUCUUCAUAGAAGGGCCCUGUAAAGAUCAAAUUUAUUUGGUAAAUAAAGUUGAACAAUCUAAUUGACAGAUGAGUUGGUGUACAUAAAUCAGAUUAAAUUGAAAGAAAGGAACAAGGAGGACAUGAAGUAAGACUAUAUCAUGUAUGACAUGCAAAUAUCCAGUGAAAACUAAUUUGGCUUUAUAUCCAUUUGGCAAAGUGACAAGGAAUGGUUUAGUUAAAGGUUUCACAUUAAAGAGUAAGUGUUUAUGUUGAGUUAUAUGGUUAGUUGCACUUGUAUCUAAUAUUCAAGGAUUUAUUAUUAACUGUGAUAAACCACAUACAUGAGGGUCCAUAGAACUUAUAGCAUAACUACUAAACAAACCUGCAAAAUGGACAAUAUUAUUGUCCACAGUAGAAUCAUCAUGAGUUGACACAGAAGAUAGUUGAGCUUGCUGAAUUAGAGCUAGGAGAUGUUAGUACUGCUCCUUAGUAAAACCAUGAGCUGAUGACUCAGGAAACUAUGUAGUUGGAGCAGCAUGCAAAGGUGUAGAGGAAGUGAAAGAAUUUUCAGUUUGGACACAUGAAGCAAACUUCUUGUUCUUUGUGAACUUGAAGUCUGGAGGAAAUCCAUGGUGCCUGUAACAUUUAUCCACAGUGUGUCCAUGUUUCUUACAAUAUUUACAAGAAAUAUUUGUAUUAGACCUCCUGUAUUCAAAAUUCACCUUUUGACUGAAGGUCUUGUUCACAUUUGAUGAUCCACUAGAAACUAGGAGGAAGGAUGUAUCUCCAAAAAGACUUGGGACAGAAGAAUGGGCUUCCCUUUGACUUUCGUCAUGUUGAAGAAGAGAAUAACCCUUGCUCAUUAGUGGAAGAGGGUUCAUCAUCAUAAUAACACUUUUUACAGUUGAAUAGGACUCCUUUAAACCAUAUAGAAAUUAGAAUAAUUGUUGAUCUUCUAUGAAUUUGGGCAAGGCACCACAAGAACAUACAUGUCCUACAUAUGAGGAAUGUAGCUCAUCCCAUAGGCUUCUCAUCUUUGUAAAGUAAGAUGCUAUGUCAGAAGACCCCUGAGUAGUAGAAUGAAUUUUGCUUUGAAGUUAGAUGAACUUAGACCCAUUUGACUUCCAAAACCUAUCAUUGAUGUCUUUCCAUACUUCCUUGGCAGUCCUAAAACACAUCACACUGGCUCUAGAUACUGAAUUUGUUAUCAAGGCCUUGACCAUGUCAUUACAUCUUUCCCAAUAUGCAAAGUAAGGGGAAUCUGAUGUGGGCGGAGAGACUCUACCAUCUACUAACCCUAAUUUAUUCUUUGCAGAGAGAGAAGUGACUAUACUACUUCUCCAAAGUACAAAUCCAGACACAUUGAAUGGCUCAAACACCAAUUGACUACCAGAGCUAUCAGACGGGUGAAUAUAGAGAGGGUGAGAUGGAUCCAGUGAAAAAGGAACAAAAUUAUCAAAAGUCGAAGGCACGUCAUCAUUAUUCAAUAUAAUACCCAUCAGAUCGAGUUGCAACCAGAACGAGUUCACAAUAUAAAAGAUAAAAGUCGACUGAUAACAAACAGAGGUAAAACGGAGUUGCAUUCAACAAAAAAUCAAGACAUGCAGACAAGUGAGAAUAUACCAGCCUUCUUCUGGAAAUCCGAAAAAGUAAGAUCUCGUCUAAUCGCAAUAUCUUUUCUCCCAAAUGUAACAACACUUUCGUGAAGACCAAAAAUACAGAGAAGAUAUACCACAACCAAAGAUCGAAGCUGAAAAGUCCCAAAUUUCUCUGGUGAAAAAAUACAGUACUGCUUCAGCAACCUCUAAUUUCAACCAAAAUCAAAACGAGAAAAACUUCCGGCAAGGGUACAAUCGGAAGAGAGCUCACAAUAAGAGGAAUCUAAAUCUCUGCUCUGAUACCAUGUUAACUUGGUACAGAGAUUUGCUAUGGCGGAAUAAAUGAAGAGAAAACCCUAACAUUGAGAAAAGAGUGACACAGAAGGUUCGAGAGAAAAUGUGAGCUUGUCAAAAUGACU